GACGAACGCUGGCGGCGUGCUUAACACAUGCAAGUCGAACGGAAAGGCCCUGCUUUUGUGGGGUGCUCGAGUGGCGAACGGGUGAGUAACACGUGAGUAACCUGCCCUUGACUUUGGGAUAACUUCAGUAAACUGGGGCUAAUACCGGAUAGGAGCUCCUGCUGCAUGGUGGGGGUUGGAAAGUUUCGGCGGUUGGGGAUGGACUCGCGGCUUAUCAGCUUGUUGGUGGGGUAGUGGCUUACCAAGGCUUUGACGGGUAGCCGGCCUGAGAGGGGGACCGGCCACAAUGGGACUGAGGUACGGACCAGACUCCAACGGGAGGCAGCAGUGGGGAAUAUUGCACAAUGGGCGGAAGCCUGAUGCAGCAACGCCGCGUGCGGGAUGACGGCCUUCGGGUUGUAAACCGCUUUCGCCUGUGACGAAGCGUGAGUGACGGUAAUGGGUAAAGAAGCACCGGCUAACUACGUG
This 468-nucleotide ribosomal RNA is filed under the name uncultured bacterium. RNAcentral describes it as "partial 16S ribosomal RNA". It matches the Rfam family "Bacterial small subunit ribosomal RNA", at positions 28 to 507 of the family's 1533-position model. The record is from RNAcentral.